GUGCAAAUGCUGGAAAAGACUGACAUGGACAAAGGAACCACUGAUGUGC
The sequence is a small nucleolar RNA, 49 nucleotides long. Its record names the gene SNORD42. It matches the Rfam family "Small nucleolar RNA SNORD42". From Rfam's summary of the family: snoRNA U42 is found in intron 3 of the ribosomal protein L23a (RPL23a) gene in humans and is also present in mice. U42 is a member of the C/D class of snoRNA which contain C (UGAUGA) and D (CUGA) box motifs. The record is from Ensembl.